UCGGGAAUAUUGCGCAAUGGAGGAAACUCUGACGCAGUGACGCCGCGUGCAGGAAGAAGGUUUUCGGAUUGUAAACUGCUUUAGACAGGGAAGAAAAAGACAGUACCUGUAGAAUAAGCUCCGGCUAACUACGUGCCAGCAGCCGCGGUAAUACGUAGGGAGCAAGCGUUAUCCGGAUUUAUUGGGUGUAAAGGGUGCGUAGACGGGAAAAUAAGUUAGUUGUGAAAUCCCCAUGCUUAACAUGGGAACUGCAACUAAAACUGUUUUUCUUGAGUGCUGGAGAGGAAAGUGGAAUUCCUAGUGUAGCGGUGAAAUGCGUAGAUAUUAGGAGGAACACCAGUGGCGAAGGCGACUUUCUGGACAGUAACUGACGUUGAGGCACGAAAGUGUGGGGAGCAAACA
This 402-nucleotide ribosomal RNA is filed under the name uncultured bacterium. Its description in RNAcentral is "bacterial SSU rRNA". It matches the Rfam family "Bacterial small subunit ribosomal RNA", at positions 355 to 774 of the family's 1533-position model. RNAcentral also lists the same sequence under 1 other name. The record is from RNAcentral.